Nycticebus coucang (slow loris) is the source of this 4210-nucleotide long non-coding RNA. RefSeq lists it as uncharacterized. The record is from RefSeq and is a predicted model, not a curated record. Lineage: Eukaryota; Metazoa; Chordata; Mammalia; Primates; Lorisidae. The transcript has 6 exons.
UCUCCUUCGGAGAAGCCAUACAUUUUACAUGGUUCCCGCCUGCUUCCCUAGCAGUGCAAUAGUUCUGGCAGUCAGGGAACACUCUCUGAGUGCUUGCUGGGUGCCAGGCAUAAUCUCCAUGUGUGAUUGAAUUUGGGGAACUUCGAGGGGCCAGGUGUAUCAGUUGAGGAACAGUGUACACGUUUCACUAGUCGAGGGCCCAUACUCCUACCACCAUAGCCAGAGUAGAUAAUAACCCUUUCUGAAUAUUAUGGAAAUCUAGUGCUCAAGAAAGGAAAGUCACUGAGCAGUCUCCUGGUGCUGGCGAUCCAGUCCCAGCUGUUUGCAGCGUGGGCAGAGGAGCAGCAGAAACACUGCAGGGUGGAGGAUGGCAGGAGGGUCCAUGCCUUGAAGGAGAGAAUGAAGGGGAAGAGUGCUGUGCCUGCAGCUGUGAAAUGCUGAAUGGGAAGCAUCUCUUUAACUGGAUAAGGAGUGUGGGGCUGACUGGUGUUGGCCAAGUGUCAUCUCAGGUAGCAUGAGACUGCAGGGCCUUUCUGGGGUACUGUCCCCCAGAAAGACUCUGCAGUGGGAGCUGCUGCACUGUAGAUGAGACCCUGGCCCCUGUGCUGAGAGACGGUGAUGAGGAUUUUGCUGACGACUCCGUGUCCUCAGACUUGUGUCCUCAAACCCUCAUGGCCUGCAAACUGGGGGUCUUCUGCCCAGGAAGCUGCUACUGGGAGGAGCGAGGCGGGGCGCUUUCCCUGCUGUGUUCUGUGACCCCGCUACCGUCCUGAGCUUGUUCGUUUGUGAGGAAUAGGCUGGAGGAUGAGAGAGGGAGAACAGUUGCAGUGGCUCAUCAGCCUGCUGGAAAUGGAAGAGUCUCUUGGGAUCUGCAGCCUUGGUAACAGGUCACAGAAUUGUCUCCUGAAGAUCUUGAAAUGUCUGUUUAAAGUUUCUCUUUAUUGUGAAUCCCGAGGUAGGUGGGUGUUCGAGCAUCAGUGACUGUGAUUUUUUUUUAUUAUGAAAUAGUUUUUUGUAAAUUGCUUUUAGAAAUCAUUUAUAUGUACAGCACUUAUUUAUCCUAUAUGUGUGUCAUCUCUGUGACCCCCAGAGACUUAGGGACAUUCCCAGGCACAUCUUUUGUUCCAACUGUGAAUGCAGAAGACGUAAAUAUAACUGCAGGCUGGAGAAACACAGAAUAGCCCAACUCACUCACACACUUUAUGUAGUCAGUGGAAUUAUUAUUAUUAUUAUUAUUAUUAUGUAUAAUAGUACCUGUCCCACUGCUCUAGAGUUCCCUUAGUACUUUUGAAUGAACUGAGAAAUUCGUAAUCAUUUGAAGAAAUCUCUAUGUAAACAUUAGGACUAAACAGGUGUUCUCCUCUGUCCUGGGCAGACUGUAGGUGGACUUGCAGUGAGGUUUCCAGGGUGUGUGAAGUUGAACUGAUAUUUACAAGAAUUUGAGGUCAAGUACUUUGGUUGUCCUUGAGCAGGUGAGCAGACCUUGUGGCAAGCCCUGGAUUCUCACUGCAAGCUGGACUGAUGUUAACAGAGACCCACUGUUUUACCUCCCUUCCCUUUCCACAUUCCCUCUCAUUGGAUUGAAAUCACUCAUUUGCUAAAAGUUGAGUACUGUGUGUGUGAAUCUGUUCAAACCAUAGAAAGGGUAGAGCGAUGGUCUAUCUUCAUAUUUUAAUAGACCAUGAUGCCAACAGAAUGUUCAAAGUCUCACAUGUUCCGAGUUCUGUGGCCUCACUGUUAUAUCCUGGAUCCCUCCAUAGCCCCUGUGAAUGAGCACAUGAGCUCUCUUUCUCCUGAGGGACCCAGGAGUUAAGUGAGGAAACAGUGUACCACCGUGUGCAGUCCUCCGUCAAGGUAAAUCCAGUGAGGAUGAAUAGUAAAUGCUGAAGGCUUUGUGCUUAUUAUAUAUGAGUGCACUUUCAUGCUGGUCCUCUCUCUAUGGAUUUAACUCCCCCACUGAGGGUCCAGCUUGGAGCUUACUACACAGGCUCCUGCUUGGUAAGUCCUCAGAUCCAUGCAGUAAGGUUUUUCUACUUGUGAACAUCAUCUCAAGAAGGUAAGAGAUGGACAGGUAAGAGCUGGAGGCCCGUGCCUGCAGGCCUGGCCUUGGGGAGGGCAGCCCAGAAACAGCAUACGCAGCCUUGCAGCCUUGCUCAUACGCAGCUUUUCCUCAGCCUUGCUCUUCCCAAUGGGCUCUGACAAACAGGGAACCCUGAGCAUUGCUACCAGCUGGGAGCUUGUUGACUUGCAAAAUCUCAGCCCCCGCACACCCACUAAAGUCUGACAGCACUGGGCAGAGUUCCUCUGCUCGUGAGCAUCUGGGAAGCAACUGCUCAAGGUCACACUGGGGGGCCGUGUGAGGUCUUUGGACCAAGUGUGCAGUGACUUCCAGCUUCUCCCCGGCCCACAGCCCCUCAAGGAGGAUGCGCCUCCCAGGUUAACUCGCUGCAGAGCAUUGGUUGAUUCAGCAUUCUGGAGUGUGCUGCGUGAAGGACUACUUGAGUCAUCUCCAUAAAUCAACAUAGUGGUCAUUGGAGUUCCUUCCAUGGUGGAUGGGACUUGAGAUCAGCAAAGGAGACUGAUGAAAGCAGGGGUUUAUCUUUGCUGCCUGGGAAGCCGGCCUAAGAACUGCUUUUCUCAGCUGAUGUAGAGGAAGACCCCGCCAGGGAACGAGCACGGUGAAGCUGCAUGUCCUUCCUGGAUGAAGUUUUCGGCUUAUUUAUUAUUGUUCUUUGGUGGGUAUUUUAAUUUGCUGUGUAGGAAAAAAUUUCCUUGACUGUUGCCUUCUGGAAACCUAAAUUUCCCAUUUAGCUGCUUUCGCAAGGAAAUCUGAGCCAACAUCGUCAUUAAUCUGUUUGUGCCAUUCAAGCAGCCCACUAAAAUGUCAAAGGGAUAGUUAUGAAAAUGAGCAUAUAAAUGCCUAUGGAUACUGAUGAUCUGAAUAGAACAGAACAACAUUCACCGAAAUAGUUUUAUUCUAUUUACAUAAAGGGCAUGUAAUUAGUCCAAAUGUAUCGCGCUAGUGCCCAUUUAAGUUUCUAAAAUCCUUUGUAAGAAAGUUAUUAGUGCCACAUGGGGUGAAUCUGUUGCUUCUGGCUGUAAUGUUUUUCAGGAAUAUACUGGAGAUCCAGAAGCCUGAACUCGGGUGAAAGGCACCUCUGGGCCUGUGGUUCUUUAGAGCACAGUGGGAAGUUUUUCUAUUUGUAGAAGGAAAUGAAGAUAAAAUUCCACCUAUAAUCUCAACUGCUGUGGCCAUUGUAGCUGCUGAACUUCAUAAGUAAAGCCUGUUCCCACCUGUUGGCUCCAUUCCGAACGGUGGAAAGCGCUCCUGAAUGGGAAGUAGUAGAAACCAAGGAGUGAGCCAAAAGCUGAAGACACCCCAGAGGUUCCCAGGGACUUGGCGUGGAAAGGGAGAAGGGGGCAUGUGAAGGCUGCCCAGGGCAGGCCUACCUGGGCUCCUGUGUCACUAUUAAGCCAUCUUCACUACGGGGAGCUUUGAGAGCCUGGCGGGAGAUGAAGACAUGUGCCGGAGGCUAAAUUUCAGACAGAUCUUGCGCGCCGUCCCCCCCCCCCCGCCAUGUUUUCCAAUAUACAGAAGAACACUAUAGUGAGAUUAUUUUAGGUGGAAUUCCUAUGAAUAUUCAAAAGGAAGUGUUUGUUUUGAUGACUUCCUUCUCCAUAUCACCAGUCAUACCAGAAUUUCAUGUCUAGUAGUUAUCAGUGGAGAAAGUAGCCAGGAAGUCAUGUUGCACCUAACAUAAGCAUGUUGGAAAAAUCCUGACAGCGAUAGGCGAGUAAGUCUGGGAAACAUUUAACCUAGAACAGAGGUUACAGGGCAAGUUCAAACCCUAAACUCUUGCCAAGACCCUAGAACUUUGCGUGUUCUCUCUGAGAAUUGAUUUAAUUCAAAAUUUGUACUACUUUUUCUAAUUGAUCCUUCUUGUGCUCUGACAGACAUUCAGGAUGCCCAGAGUCCAUCCAUUUCAUCAAGCCGCAGAAGUGGUUACCUGAAGGAGCCUUGAGCCCACGGUUCCGUCCUUCCAUCUGCUGGGGUCCUUCCUUCCCUUGGUCGGCCUGUCCACUCCACACCCACCCUGCUGGCUACAUCUUCUGAGGACACCCCCAGCUCAGAAAGAUUAAGAAUUUCCAAGCUUUAUGUGUUGAAUGACAACGCAGUUAUAUUAAUCAACAAAUAAAAAAUUUACUUUUA